Molecule: ribosomal RNA, 674 nt
Filed under: Cryobacterium psychrophilum
Lineage: Bacteria; Bacillati; Actinomycetota; Actinomycetes; Micrococcales; Microbacteriaceae
Description: bacterial SSU rRNA
Rfam family: Bacterial small subunit ribosomal RNA
Source: RNAcentral
UCGAACGGUGAUGAGGAGCUUGCUUCUCUGAUCAGUGGCGAACGGGUGAGUAACACGUGAGCAAUCUGCCCUUGACUCUGGGAUAAGCGUUGGAAACGACGUCUAAUACCGGAUACGACCUUGGAAGGCAUCUUCUGGGGUGGAAAGAAUUUUGGUCAAGGAUGAGCUCGCGGCCUAUCAGCUAGUUGGUGAGGUAAUGGCUCACCAAGGCGACGACGGGUAGCCGGCCUGAGAGGGUGACCGGCCACACUGGGACUGAGACACGGCCCAGACUCCUACGGGAGGCAGCAGUGGGGAAUAUUGCACAAUGGGCGAAAGCCUGAUGCAGCAACGCCGCGUGAGGGACGACGGCCUUCGGGUUGUAAACCUCUUUUAGUAGGGAAGAAGCGUAAAAGUGACGGUACCUGCAGAAAAAGCACCGGCUAACUACGUGCCAGCAGCCGCGGUAAUACGUAGGGUGCAAGCGUUGUCCGGAAUUAUUGGGCGUAAAGAGCUCGUAGGCGGUUUGUCGCGUCUGCUGUGAAAACCCGAGGCUCAACCUCGGGCCUGCAGUGGGUACGGGCAGACUAGAGUGCGGUAGGGGAGAUUGGAAUUUCCUGGUGUACGGUGGAAUGCGCAGAUAUCAGGAGGAACACCAAUGGCGAAGGCAGAUCUCUGGGGCCGUAACUGACGCU